UUCUUUCUGCUUUUCUGUGCUUCGAUUUGGCUCCAAUGGUGAGGGGAUCGGCACGUGGAUCUCGCGCCCGUCGUACCCUCGCCGUGCUUCUGUCUCUGCUGCUGAGGGUUUGCUCCAGGACCGCCAGCCGCUGGUCCUCCCCGUGUCGCAGCUCCGGCUCACGGCCGUGAGCGGAUCGGUGAUGCUCUUCCCAUCUGCGCCCGCGGCGUUCGUGCGCCACGCGGCCGGGCCGUCCUCAUUUAGCAUUUGCUGAUGCUGCUGAGUCCGCUGCCGGCGUUCGUGCGCCCCGCUGCCCUCUUCUUCUUCAGUGCGCCCCGGCCCCCCCACCCCACACCACACCUUUCUCGAGCACAGGGAGUCACGCCCGCCACUUUGCCGCGAUUGUCUCUGCCGCCAUGAUUUUUAGCUGUUGGAGGUCAAAUCACGUGGCACCAGAUCGACCGCCGGUGUAGAUGCCGUGCGGAUGUCCCUUUCUUCAUCUCCUAUUUUCACCCAUUAUUGGAAAUCUCCUUGGAUGAAGAUGCUCCCGGCUGCCUUGCAGGAAUCAAGAUCCACGUGCUGCUCUGGCCCCCACGCUGCUCUCCGGAGGUUCAGCGCUGCCCGGUUCCUUUGCCGCGCCGGACGGAUUUCGCAGCGCCCCUGGCUCCUGCUGGAUGGGAGAGCUGUUCGCCGUGAUUGGCGGCUGCACCUUCCAACGCCGCCCUGACUCCCUCUAGCGGGCGAGCUGGUCGCGGCGAUGGGCUGUGGCGGUUCCUCAUGUUUGACAUCCGGAUUGGGAGGGAGAGCCUCCACGGCAGCGGUGCACUCAACGGAGAGGCUCUCGACGGUAGUGUGCGCUCAACGGAGAGGCUCUCCACGGCAGUGGCGCCCUCUACGACGAGACCCUCGACGGCCGCUGCCCUCUGCAACAUGUUGGUUUAGGCGAUGCAGGUACCGGAGGCAGGCUUACUGCAGGAGACUCUCCGGCUCGCUGCCAGGUUCUUCCUCCGGCCUCCCCCGCGUGCUAUCUGCAGCUAGGAAGUGAACAUCUACCAAAGAAAGAAGCAGCAUCCACAGGGUUAGCCGUUGGGGUAUUGUUUUUAUAUGGGACGCUCUGCAGCUGUGACGGUGUGGCGCGGGCGGCGAGAACGGACCUGCAUCUUUGUUCGAGGCCUCUCAGCCUUUGCGUGGUCCUUUCCUGCAAGGCAAUUCUUCAUGCUGUACUGUAGAUGAGUAGCUGUACAUGCAAAGAAGACAAACCAUAGGCCGGCUACCACGUGGUCAGAGAGGAACUGGAGAACAGACAUAUGUGCUUGGAGAGGAACUGGAGGACAGCCAUACGUGUCUGACGAAAAGAAGAAAAGUCAUACUAAUUUAUUAGGUUACAGGGGCAAUUUACACUGAUUUAGUUAAGGAUGUCUUGCUUGGAGCCCAUCAAUGGAACAUAUUCUAUGCGCAUCAGCAGCGGCGGCGGCUCUGCGCAUCAACAACAAAUCAGAUGAUCUAUCCCUUCUAUUGUUUAGCUCAAGACAAUCUACAAACCUGCACGAAUCUCUAUCGGCGUCAUCUGUUUCAGGCCUGGAAGAUGUAUCGGUGGCCUCUAAACCAGUUCAGUCAAACCAUGUAAUGUUGUUGUCUGGCCCAGUCCAGUGAACCGACAUAUUCUUCAUAUAAUCCAGUGUGAAUGCCCUUAUCCACCUAAGUAUCCCUGCUUAUAUUAUAUGUCUUAUCUUAGUUCAAGUAGUUGUUUGGAGACACUAAUUUUUGAACUCCUGCAAUGCCUGCUUAUAUUAUAUGUGUCAUUUUAGUUCUCACA
Long non-coding RNA from Lolium perenne, 1795 nucleotides. RefSeq lists it as uncharacterized. Lineage: Eukaryota; Viridiplantae; Streptophyta; Magnoliopsida; Poales; Poaceae. The record is from RefSeq and is a predicted model, not a curated record.